RNAcentral lists this ribosomal RNA (550 nucleotides) under Cryptococcus sp. ATT079. RNAcentral describes it as "LSU rRNA". It matches the Rfam family "Eukaryotic large subunit ribosomal RNA", at positions 126 to 667 of the family's 3401-position model. The record is from RNAcentral. Lineage: Eukaryota; Fungi; Basidiomycota; Tremellomycetes; Tremellales; Cryptococcaceae.
GUCUUUCAGGCGUCCGAGUUGUAAUCUAUAGAGGCGUUUUCCGCGCCGGACCGCGUCCAAGUCUCUUGGAAUAGAGUAUCAAAGAGGGUGACAAUCCCGUACUUGACGCGACAACCGGUGCUCUGUGAUACGUUCUCAACGAGUCGAGUUGUUUGGGAAUGCAGCUCUAAAUGGGUGGUAAAUUCCAUCUAAGGCUAAAUAUUGGCGAGAGACCGAUAGCGAACAAGUACCGUGAGGGAAAGAUGAAAAGCACUUUGGAAAGAGAGUUAAACAGCACGUGAAAUUGUUAAAAGGGAAACGAUUGAAGUCAGUCGUGUGAAAGGUAUUCAGCCGUCUCUGGCGGUGUAUUUGCCUUUCACGGGUCAACAUCAGUUUAGUCCGGUAGAAAAAGGCUGGAGGAAGGUGGCAUCUUCGGGUGUGUUAUAGCCUCCUGUCAUAUGUGCCGGAUUAGACUGAGGAACGCAGCUUGCAGCAAUGCCGGGGUUCGCCCACGUACAAGCUUAGGAUGUUGACAUAAUGGCUUUAAACGACCCGUCUUGAAACACGGACC